Molecule: long non-coding RNA, 209 nt
Organism: Aedes aegypti (yellow fever mosquito)
Lineage: Eukaryota; Metazoa; Arthropoda; Insecta; Diptera; Culicidae
Exons: 2
Source: RefSeq, a predicted model, not a curated record
UGAUGAUGGGGAGCGCAGUGCUACGGGUUUUUGUAAACAGUAGUAACGGUUGUGAUUUUUAUUGUUGGUACUUUCAAAACUCUUCAAUCCUGCAAGCUUCGCUAUCCUGGCUUAAUGUUUGAUUUGAUGUCCAUCAGUAAGGCCUUUAGCAUCGUUAAACCUGAAGAAUCUGUGAUGGAAUCCAUGCGACACCUUGCUUCCGAAAAGCG